GCAGAAGGGUUUAGCGCAGGGGCCCCACCCGUUCCCAUCCCGAACACGGCCGUUAAGCCCUGCAGCGCCGAUGGUACUGCCCUCCGGGCGGAAGCGUAGGUCCCCUCCUGCU
Molecule: ribosomal RNA, 112 nt
Filed under: Fodinibius salsisoli
Lineage: Bacteria; Pseudomonadati; Balneolota; Balneolia; Balneolales; Balneolaceae
Source: RNAcentral